GCGUGAGUGAUGAAGGCCCUAGGGUUGUAAAGCUCUUUUGUCGGGGACGAUAAUGACGGUACCCGAAGAAUAAGCUCCGGCUAACUUCGUGCCAGCAGCCGCGGUAAUACGAAGGGAGCUAGCGUUGUUCGGAAUCACUGGGCGUAAAGCGCACGUAGGCGGAUUAGUUAGUCAGGGGUGAAAUCCCGGGGCUCAACCUCGGAACUGCCUUUGAUACUGCUGAUCUCGAGUCCGAUAGAGGUGGGUGGAAUUCCUAGUGUAGAGGUGAAAUUCGU
This 275-nucleotide ribosomal RNA is filed under the name uncultured bacterium. RNAcentral's name for it is "partial 16S ribosomal RNA". It matches the Rfam family "Bacterial small subunit ribosomal RNA", at positions 399 to 691 of the family's 1533-position model. The record is from RNAcentral.